UUACAUGGGGAAUUUUUUUCCUCAAAAUAUGGGUUUGGAAGAGGAAUUAGUCAACAGAAAUUGUAUUUCCAUUGAUAUGCAAAACUAAAAUAAUAAUGUUAUGGUAUAUAAGUGAUAAAAAGGUGCCAUAAACCAGCAACGGUCAGCCACCCCAAGCAAAGAAAUCUCAAAAAUAACGAUAAAAUACAUUCACCUCUCAAUAUCAAGCUUAAAAAGGAAAUCACACACAGCGAUAGAAGAAAAAAUCACUACUUUUAGCUACAAAAAAACCUAUCAAAAACAAAGAGAGAAAGCAGAGUGUAAGAACUAAAACGAGAGAAAAUUUGUGUGAGACAUUAAAAGAUUGAGGGUGACAUAGAGAGAGAGAGCGGGAGUGAGAAGGAAGGAGCAUCAAAAACAUUCACUUAUUGACCGUGACAAUGGCAUUUGUAUGAUGCCUGCUUUUCAGCACCAUGCCGCCAUAUAGAAACGUACAUAUACAUAUGUAUUUAUUUGUAAAUGCUUAUUCCUAUGUGACACGGUUGUGCUUUGGUGAAUAUUCAAGCUUAUGGUGUAUGUGUGUGUGUGAUCUUUAAUUAGUAUUUAAAUACAUUGCAAAGGAACACAAAACAUCGAAUGGUCUUGAGCCAAAAUAUACUUAGCAAAGAAAUUAAAUUUCCCCAAAAAUAAACUAAAAAAAAAUUAAAUUUUUUGAAGCAUGAUGCAAUAAAUUAGACAACUUCAAGCAUUACAUUUAAAUUAAAUGCAAAUGCAAAAGUGGUCUCAACGCAAUUGACGUAGAGGUUUCGUAAUUAAUUGUUAAUCUCUGGUACAUAUUAGUUGAGUUUUUUUUUCUCUCUCAUAACGAAAGUUGAUGAGAGAGAGAAAGAAAGUUUCAGAAUAUAUGUUUGAAUGUCUAUUAACACAUACAGGCGGCUAUGACUACAAAAAUACUGAGGUAGAUAUCGUAAAUAUUUUUUAAGCUUUAAAAAAUGCAAAAUAAACACUUCAAAAGAGAUUUAUUCAAAAUCGGUCAUAGCUUGAAGACGUCACAAACUUGAUGACAAAUGCCCACCACUGCGUAUGACGCAUUUUAAUUGAGAUGGACAAGAAAAUAAUGAUCAUACGCCAAGAGGGCCUAAUGAAGGAAUACAUAAAAGAUUUAAGGAAAUGUAA
This is a long non-coding RNA of Stomoxys calcitrans (stable fly), 1155 nucleotides long. RefSeq lists it as uncharacterized. The record is from RefSeq and is a predicted model, not a curated record. The transcript has 3 exons. Lineage: Eukaryota; Metazoa; Arthropoda; Insecta; Diptera; Muscidae.